GUAAGCGGCACAGCGAAAGCGUUAAGUAAUCCACCUGGGGAGUACGCCGGCAACGGUGAAACUCAAAGGAAUUGACGGGGGCCCGCACAAGCGGAGGAACAUGUGGUUUAAUUCGAUGAUACGCGAGGAACCUUACCCGGGUUUGAACGCAUUUGGACCGGCCUUGAAAGAGGUCUUCUAGUAAUAGCCAUUUGCGAGGUGCUGCAUGGUUGUCGUCAGCUCGUGCCGUGAGGUGUCGGCUUAAGUGCCAUAACGAGCGCAACCCUUAUCUUUAGUUACUAACAGGUCGUGCUGAGGACUCUAAAGAGACUGCCAGCGUAAGCUGUGAGGAAGGUGGGGAUGACGUCAAAUCAGCACGGCCCUUACAUCCGGGGCGACACACGUGUUACAAUGGCAUGGACAAAGGGCAGCUACCUGGCGACAGGAUGCUAAUCUCUAAACCAUGUCUCAGUUCGGAUCGAAGUCUGCAACCCGACUUCGUGAAGCUGGAUUCGCUAGUAAUCGCGCAUCAGCCAUGGCGCGGUGAAUACGUUCCCGGGCCUUGUACACACCGCCCGUCAAGCCAUGGGAGUUGGGGGUACCUAAAGUCCGUAACCGCAAGGAUCGGCCUAGGGUAAAACCGAUGACUGGGGCUAAGUCGUAACAAGGUAGCCGUACCGGAAGGUGCGGCUGGAACACCUCCUUUCUGGAGC
This 692-nucleotide ribosomal RNA is filed under the name Parabacteroides faecis. RNAcentral's name for it is "bacterial SSU rRNA". It matches the Rfam family "Bacterial small subunit ribosomal RNA", at positions 839 to 1533 of the family's 1533-position model. Lineage: Bacteria; Pseudomonadati; Bacteroidota; Bacteroidia; Bacteroidales; Tannerellaceae. The record is from RNAcentral.